CACGUAGGGACCAAGCGUUGUCCGGAUUUAUUGGGCGUAAAGAGCUCGUAGGCGGUUCAGUCAGUUGGGUGUGAAAACUUCGAGCUUAACUCGAAGCAUGUAUCCGAUACUGCUGUGACUUGAGUCCGGUAGGGGAGUGGGGAAUUCCUGGUGUAGCGGUGAAAUGCGCAGAUAUCAGGAGGAACACCGGUGGCGAAGGCGUUACUCUGGGCCGGUACUGACGCUGAGGAGCGAAAGCGUGGGUAGCAAACAGG
Molecule: ribosomal RNA, 254 nt
Filed under: uncultured bacterium
Lineage: Bacteria
Description: partial 16S ribosomal RNA
Rfam family: Bacterial small subunit ribosomal RNA
Source: RNAcentral